ACAUAAACGUAGUAGAAAACUGCAGCUAUCAAUAUCGAACUAUCGGGAAAGAAACCCAGGGAAAAACCAAAAAGCCCUUUCAAGCUGCUUUGUCUGGAUGUCGGAGUAUGAAGUCGUGCCUUGAACUUCUGCUGGCGGAUCACGUUUCAGCCUUAUGUGGAGAAGCCGGUUAGAGCCCAGGCAAUACUGGAAUACACCUAAGGCCCAGCUCUUUGGCUUCCUCGGAACCACCUACUGGCUAGCGUGUCUUUGGAGGACUCGCUCCGGGCUGAAUUUCACCCUUUGGGUUUACGUGAUCACACUCCGGGCUUCAACAGCCUUGAAGACUGAGUCUGAACACGACCACGCACUUAAGUAUCCCUGCCUGGAGCUGGCCUCUUCUCCGGCUGUGUUUAAGGCUGCUGGCAAUUCAUGUAACAUUAGUCCCAUCUACCCGUUGGAGUAGGAUGGAUGCGGCUUUGUUCUACAGCAAACACACACAGCUGCCCCGAAUCAUCUGAUCAAGUGUUUAUGCAACAGCACAAUAUUAUGUCAGUCAUUUUUGUUAUCUCUAUUUUUGUUAUUAGUUUCUUGUUGGGUUCUUCCUAAUUAGUAUCCUAAAUAUAUAUAUAUAUAAAAUA
Molecule: long non-coding RNA, 620 nt
Organism: Nothoprocta perdicaria
Lineage: Eukaryota; Metazoa; Chordata; Aves; Tinamiformes; Tinamidae
Exons: 2
Source: RefSeq, a predicted model, not a curated record